Molecule: non-coding RNA, 738 nt
Filed under: Pterolophia sp. ZJY-2019
Lineage: Eukaryota; Metazoa; Arthropoda; Insecta; Coleoptera; Cerambycidae
Source: RNAcentral
AAAUUAAGUCUAAUUUUUUGCUUAUAUGUAAAUUUUUGUGUAAGUUUAUUAGGUUUUAAUAGCAAGAUUAAUUUGCAGUAAAUAAUUUUAAAUAUUAAUGAAAAUUAGAUUUAGAAAAAAUUUUUAUUAUUAACAAAAUUUGUGCCAGCAGUUGCGGUUACUCAAAUAAUAUAAUUUAAUUUUAAUUAGAAUUAAUUAAUAGUAAUGAAAAAUUUAAAAUAUAAUUUAUUAGGUGAAAUUAGUAAAUUUUAAAAAAUUUAAAAUAUGAAUUUAAGAAGUUUUAUAAUUAAACUAGGAUUAGAUACCCUAUUAUUAAAAAUGUAAAAAAAGUUUCUAGAUUAGUAUUAGAUAUGUUCUUGAAAAUUAAAAAAUUUGGCGGUAUUUUAUUCUAUUCAGAGGAAUCUGUUCUAUAAUUGAUAAUCCACGAGUUAAAUUACUUUUUUUAAUAAUUUAUAUAUCGUCGUAGUUAGAAUAUUUUAUUAGAAUUAUAAUAUUCAAGAUUUAUUUUUUAAAAUAAAUCAGAUCAAGGUAUAGUUUAUAAUAAAGAAGAAAUGGAUUACAUUUAAAAUAAAUGAGGAUUUUAAAUUUAAAAUUUAAAUGAAUAAGGAUUUGAUAGUAAUUUAGUUAAAAUUAAUUAAAUGAUUUUAGUUCUAAAAUAUGCACAUAUUGCCCGUCGCUUUCAUUUAAAAUGAAAUAAGUCGUAACAAAGUAGAUUUACUGGAAAGUGAAUCUGGAAAG